GCUUUCUUAGCUCAGUCGGCAGAGCGUCAGUCUCAUAAUCUGAAGGUCAGCGGUUCGAGCCCGCUAGAGAGCA
Molecule: transfer RNA, 73 nt
Organism: Lichtheimia corymbifera
Lineage: Eukaryota; Fungi; Mucoromycota; Mucoromycetes; Mucorales; Lichtheimiaceae
Rfam family: tRNA
About the family: Transfer RNA (tRNA) molecules are approximately 80 nucleotides in length. Their secondary structure includes four short double-helical elements and three loops (D, anti-codon, and T loops).
Source: Rfam